RNAcentral lists this long non-coding RNA (1931 nucleotides) under Numida meleagris (helmeted guineafowl). RNAcentral describes it as "lncRNA (ENSNMEG00000006328.1)". Lineage: Eukaryota; Metazoa; Chordata; Aves; Galliformes; Numididae. The record is from RNAcentral.
AUGGAGAGGAAACCUCCCAGAUCCCCCAGAGUGGCCUGGGAGAAGAGUGGGGCUCCCCGGGAGAGAAGACCUCCACCGGAGCCCUACCAGGUGACCGAGGUGCAGCCGCUGCAUGCCGAUGCUGACUGGCUGCCUGUGUACCCGGAGGAAAAGGAGGUCAUAGAAACCAUCGAAGCCUACGUCAACAGCACAGAAAAGGAUCUGGUGCAGAAGAUGCAGUUCCUGAACUGCAUCAUCACACUGUGCAGCACUGCCAGAAAUAAGGGCUUGACAGAGGGCCUGGAUGUCUUCUGCUUCAUAAACGAUUUGCCAGAGAACAUUGAGGUCCUUAUGCGUCAGGAGCCCAGGGAGCAGCUGUGCACAGCACUGCGAUACCACACCAUGAACGCUAUUGCUGCCUUGAGCAGUGUGAAGGCAAUUUCGGAGGAUGAAAUAGUACACCUCUUAAACGUGUGCUUCAAAGUCAUCUUCUACCUUCCUCCAAAGAAGGUCUUGAACAUUUGCCUCUACAACCAUACCCUGCAUGCUAUGGACAACAUGCUGAAGGUGUUGCUAGACAGCCAUCCUUCCUCCAGCAUCCGUAACCAGCUGCAGAGUAUCUUGGAGGUGCUGCUGCCCUUCACUGUCUCCCAGAGCAAAAUUGUGCGUGAGAGGGCCAUGGAGCGGAUGUGGAAGCUUUGUGGUUUCAUGGCCAGCAGUUUCAGGCAGCAGCCAAUUGGAAAACUCAUCCACCCUCCUCAGACUACAGACAUCGUCCUCAUGACCCUUGAAAAGACCAUGGGAGACUGCAGCACUGAGGACAAGGAGUAUGCCAGGAUUCUACUGGAUUUGAUUCUGAGAGACCCUCACACCUGGCUGACGGAUCAGGUGCCAGUGAUUGUGGGGUUCAUCCAGAGAAAGCUGAAAAGCAACAGCACGUCAGUUCAGGAGAUCCUCACGUCGGUGCUUCCUGUGCUGGCAAAUGAGUUUCCCAGGGAUGCGUUAACAAGCGUGUUGACCGAACUAACACAGAGUGACAGCACCCCCCUGGACAUCUGGAAGAGAAUGCUUUCCCUGCCAGGGACUUCUGGGAGGAUCUUGGAAGAACUGCACCAUGUUCUCCAGGACCCAGAGCUGUGCGGGAUCACCACAGCGGAGUUGGGUCUCCUUCGCCUGACUGUGAGUUACAGAGCAUCUGCUGCCUAGGGUUACUUUCUGACCCUCCAGUGCUUCCUUUUCUACCGGCACCAGGCAUUAACCCCAGGUGCCGCAGCAGGGACAUGGAGGUUAAGCAGGCAGCGUGUGCCCCGGAGGCAUUGUCAAGGGCCAGCCCUGUCUGCUCCUUGGCCCGGUGCCCAGGGAGCUCCGCUUUGACCUGGUGGGGUGGCUGAGGGAGCACUGUGAGGCACAGGCACCCCGUGCUGGAAACCUGUCGCAUUGCUUUGCGUGGGCCGCCAGCGCCUUUGUGCAGAAUGUGACACCAAAGCAUCUCCAUUCACAUCAGCCAUGCUAAUGAUAUGCCCUGCCCUCCACUGCUGUUUGGCAUCUGAAGCCAUUUUAAGCCAGCCAAGUGCAACGGGAAGGCCAGUAACAUCAGUGGCAGUGGGGCAAAUGGCUGCUGUGACAGCAACAUUCUCCCUGUGUUCUCACAACAGGUGCCAGAGAUUCUGGGGUCGAUCCAUAGAAACCUGGAAAGCAACAGCGCAUCACUUCAGCAAACACUCCGCUCUUUGCUGGAUGUGCUGACCAACCGGUUUCCCAGGGAUGCGCUGAGAAGUGUAUUGACCGACCUUUCUCAGUGUGACAGGUACCAGCCCUGACAGCCCUGCACAAUUGUUCCAUGUGAAGAGAGGGCUCAGAGACGCUCUGGCUGCCAGAGCCAAGGAAAGCUGCAGGACAUCCCCGAGGAGCAGGCCUUCCAUCCCACUGUGCUUUCCAGCGCUGGUGGGCCG